Molecule: ribosomal RNA, 441 nt
Filed under: Variovorax paradoxus
Lineage: Bacteria; Pseudomonadati; Pseudomonadota; Betaproteobacteria; Burkholderiales; Comamonadaceae
Description: bacterial SSU rRNA
Rfam family: Bacterial small subunit ribosomal RNA
Source: RNAcentral
AAGGCAGCAAGUGGAGAAUUUUAGACAAUGAAAGAAAAGCAUGAUCCAACCAUGCCGCGUCCAGAUGAAGGCCUUCGGGUUGUAAAUUGUUAUUGUAUUGAACGAAACGCCCCUUUCUAAUUAAGAGGACUAAUGACGGUACCGUAAGAAUAAGCACUGGCUAAUUAUGUUCCUGCAGCCGCGGUAAUACGUAGGGGGCAAGAGUUUAUCGGAAUUACUGGGCGUAAAAAGUUGCAGGCGGUUCUUCCUCAGAUGAUGCUGAAAUCCCCGGGCUCAACCUGGGAACUGCAUCUGUGAGUGCAUAACUAGAGUACGGUAGAGGGGGAUGGAAUUUCGCGUGUAGCAGUGAAAUGCGUAGAUAUGCGGAGGAACACCGAUGGCGAAGGCAAUCCCCUGGACCUGUACUGACGCUCAUGCACGAAAGCGUGGGGAGCAAACAGG